Molecule: ribosomal RNA, 253 nt
Filed under: uncultured bacterium
Lineage: Bacteria
Description: partial 16S ribosomal RNA
Rfam family: Bacterial small subunit ribosomal RNA
Source: RNAcentral
UACGUAGGGUGCGAGCGUUAAUCGGAAUUACUGGGCGUAAAGCGUGCGCAGGCGGUUUUGUAAGCCAGAUGUGAAAUCCCCGGGCUUAACCUGGGAAUGGCAUUUGGGACUGCAAGGCUGGAGUGCGGCAGAGGAGACUGGAAUUCCUGGUGUAGCAGUGAAAUGCGUAGAUAUCUGGAGGAACACCGGUGGCGAAGGCGGCAUUCUGGACCAUAACUGACACUGAGAGACGAAAGCCAGGGGAGCAAACGGG